RNAcentral lists this ribosomal RNA (450 nucleotides) under uncultured bacterium. RNAcentral describes it as "partial 16S ribosomal RNA". It matches the Rfam family "Bacterial small subunit ribosomal RNA", at positions 354 to 796 of the family's 1533-position model. The record is from RNAcentral.
GUGGGGAAUAUUGGAUAAUGGGCGAAAGCCUGAUCCAGCCAUGCCGCGUGUGUGAAGAAGGUCUUCGGAUUGUAAAGCACUUUAAGUUGGGAGGAAGGGCAGUAAGUUAAUACCUUGCUGUUUUGACGUUACCAACAGAAUAAGCACCGGCUAACUUCGUGCCAGCAGCCGCGGUAAUACGAAGGGUGCAAGCGUUAAUCGGAAUUACUGGGCGUAAAGCGCGCGUAGGUGGUUUUGUAAGUUGGAGGUGAAAUCCCCGGGCUCAACCUGGGAACUGCCUACAAAACUGAAUGACUAGAGUACGGUAGAGGGUAGUGGAAUUUCCUGUGUAGCGGUGAAAUGCGUAGAUAUAGGAAGGAACACCAGUGGCGAAGGCGACUACCUGGACUGAUACUGACACUGAGGUGCGAAAGCGUGGGGAGCAAACAGGAUUAGAAACCCCUGUAGUCC